RNAcentral lists this ribosomal RNA (253 nucleotides) under uncultured bacterium. Its description in RNAcentral is "partial 16S ribosomal RNA". It matches the Rfam family "Bacterial small subunit ribosomal RNA", at positions 524 to 776 of the family's 1533-position model. The record is from RNAcentral.
UACGUAGGAUGCAAGCGUUAUCCGGAAUUAUUGGGCGUAAAGAGUGUGUAGGUGGUCUAUCAAGUUAAAUGUUAAAUCUCAGGGCUCAACUCUGGGGCUGCAUUUAAGACUGAUAGACUUGAGGAUGGAAGAGGUAAGCGGAAUUAGUAGUGGAGCGGUGAAAUGCGUAGAUAUUACUAGGAACACCAGUGGCGAAGGCAAUCCCCUGGACCUGUACUGACGCUCAUGCACGAAAGCGUGGGGAGCAAACAGG